This 1372-nucleotide ribosomal RNA is filed under the name Onthophagus cf. jeannelianus. Its description in RNAcentral is "16S ribosomal RNA". The stretch from base 1097 to 1255 matches the Rfam family "Archaeal large subunit ribosomal RNA", at positions 2544 to 2703 of the family's 2987-position model. The record is from RNAcentral. Lineage: Eukaryota; Metazoa; Arthropoda; Insecta; Coleoptera; Scarabaeidae.
AAAUCAAUUUAAUUUGAAUUAUUAAAUUUAUUUAGAUUUUUUAAGUUAUUUAUUAUAUUUUUAAUAAAAAUAUUUUUUGUUUUUUAUAAAUUUAGAUAAAAUUAUUUUAAUUAUAGUAAAAUAGUAUAGUGAUAGAAUAUUGAAAUAGAUUUGAAAAAUAAAAAUUUUUUAAAGAAAAUUUAAAUUAUUGUACCUUGUGUAUCAGGGUUUAUUAAAUAAUGUUUAUAUAAGUUAAUUUUCUCGAAUUUAAAAGAGUUAAGAAAUUAUAAAUUUUAUUGUAAAAUAAAUAUUUAACAUAAUUUUUUAGUAAUGAAACGUUAUUCGUUUUUAAAUUUAUCUAGUUUUUUAAGAAAUAAAUUUAAUUUAAUUAUUUAUUUUUAUUAAAAUUAUUUUAAAAUUUAAAUAAAAUAAAUAAUAAAUAUUUUAAGGGAUAAGCUUUAAAAUAUAUUUUGAAAAAUAAAAUUUUUUAUUUAAAAUUUAUAGAAAUGAAAGUAUUUACUUUAUAUUAGUGUGUUAUAACAAAUUUUAAAUAAUUUAUAAUUUUUUUAUUAUUUUCAAUUUUUUAUUAAAAUUAUUGAUUUAAUUUAAAAAUCAAUAAAAUAAUGAUAGAAUUAGUAUAAUUUAUUGUUUAAAAAUUUUAUUUUAUUAAGGUUAAGUUAAGGAAUUCGGCAAUUAUUCUUUUCGCCUGUUUAAUAAAAACAUGUCUUUUUGAUAAUAAUUUAAAGUCUGACCUGCCCUAUGAAAUAAAUUUAAAUGGCCGCGAUAAUUUGAUCGUGCAAAGGUAGCAUAAUAAUUAGUUUCUUAAUUAGGAACUGGUAUGAAAGGUUGAACGAGAAAGAAGCUGUCUCAAUUUAAAUUUAAUUAGAAUUUUAUUUUUAAGUUAAAAAGCUUAAAUAAUUUUAAAAGACGAGAAGACCCUAUAGAGUUUUAUAUUUAUAUUUUUAUUUUUAAUUUAAGAAUUUUAUUUAGUAAAAAAUUUUUAUGUAAAUAUUUAGUUGGGGUGAUUGGAAAAUUUAAAAAACUUUUCUUUUUUAAAUACAUUAAUAAAUGAAUUGAUGAUCCAUAAUUUAUGAUUAAAAGAUUAAAUUACCUUAGGGAUAACAGCGUAAUUUUUUUUGAGAGUUCUUAUCGAAAAAAAAGUUUGCGACCUCGAUGUUGGAUUAAAAUAAACUUUUGGUGUAGAAGCUAAAUAGUUGGGUCUGUUCGACCUUUAAAAUUUUACAUGAUCUGAGUUUAAACCGGUGUAAGCCAGGUUGGUUUCUAUCUUUAAAAAUAUAAAAUAUUUUAGUACGAAAGGAUCAAGUAUUUAUUAUAAUAAUUUAAUUAAGAAUAUUAUUAAAUUAAUAAAAAUUACUUUGGCAGAAUAGUGCUU